RNAcentral lists this long non-coding RNA (322 nucleotides) under Elaeis guineensis (African oil palm). RNAcentral's name for it is "long non-coding RNA (EGUI_LNC033860)". The record is from RNAcentral. Lineage: Eukaryota; Viridiplantae; Streptophyta; Magnoliopsida; Arecales; Arecaceae.
UCCAUGAUAAGUUACCGUGCAAUUUAAUCCUUCGAUCAUAUAACAUCCCAAAAAGGCUAUGGGUAUGAAAAUAUGUCAAAUCUAAAUACCUAACCAUAUGUAUCUCGGUCUGAUGAUGAUGACUCGAAUGAUAAACCAGUAAAAAUUAUUUCUACUGUUCAUCCCUACUCUGGCUAGAGACUCUAAGAGUCACCAUCCUAUGAGAUCACAUAAGAUGUUCUCUCCUCCUACAAAGAGUGACCGAUUCCUUAUUGACCACUCACAACAUCCAUGCAUACUUUACCGUACCCAGAAUAUCUUACAUACAUCUCAAAGUGAUAUG